GACGAACGCUGGCGGCGUGCCUAAUACAUGCAAGUAGAACGCUGAAGGAGGAGCUUGCUCUUCUGGAUGAGUUGCGAACGGGUGAGUAACGCGUAGGUAACCUGCCUGGUAGCGGGGGAUAACUAUUGGAAACGAUAGCUAAUACCGCAUAACAGUAGAUGUUGCAUGACAUUUACUUAAAAGGUGCAAUUGCAUCACUACCAGAUGGACCUGCGUUGUAUUAGCUAGUUGGUGGGGUAACGGCUCACCAAGGCGACGAUACAUAGCCGACCUGAGAGGGGGAUCGGCCACACUGGGACUGAGACACGGCCCAGACUCCUACGGGAGGCAGCAGUAGGGAAUCUUCGGCAAUGGACGGGAGUCUGACCGAGCAACGCCGCGUGAGUGAAGAAGGGUUUCGGAUCGUAAAGCUCUGUUGUAAGAGAAGAACGAGUGUGAGAGUGGAAAGUUCACACUGUGACGGUAUCUUACCAGAAAGGGACGGCUAACUACGUG
RNAcentral lists this ribosomal RNA (495 nucleotides) under uncultured bacterium. RNAcentral describes it as "partial 16S ribosomal RNA". It matches the Rfam family "Bacterial small subunit ribosomal RNA", at positions 28 to 507 of the family's 1533-position model. The record is from RNAcentral.